UGCAUACGUCUCUUCUAGAGUCACUGAAUUGCCUUAUCGUCCUCAUUUGGUUUUUGUGGAUGGCCAUUGCAGAGCACCUUUGGAAGAAACAUGGACUGCACUGUUUUCAAGUCUUAGAUAUGCUAAAAAUUUCAGUGGUCCGGUUUGUUUUCGCCAUGUUGUUCUUGCUCCUUUGGGAUAUGAGACUGCACUCUUUAAGGGACUAAGUGAAGAUAUAAAUUGUGAGGGAGCAUCAGCACGUGAUCUUUGGCAAAACCCUAAUGACAAAAAAACAGCCCGAUUAUCUGAGUUUGGUGAAAUGAUUAGAACAGCUUUUGGCUUCUCUGUCAAUAGACAUGGUGGUGAAAAGCCUGUUUCAGGUCAUAAUGUCCUCUUUGUCAGACGCCAAAAUUAUUUAGCCCAUCCACGUCAUGGUGGUAAAGUUGAAUCAAGACUGAGCAAUGAACAAGAAGUGUUUGAUUCAUUGCAGAGUUGGGCAUCUAAUCAUCUGGAGUGCAAAGUGAAUCUUGUCAACGGAUUGUUUGCGCACAUGCCUAUGAAGGAGCAAAUACGGGCCAUUCAAGAGGCUUCAGUUAUUAUUGGUGCUCAUGGUGCAGGUCUCACUCAUAUAGUUUCUGCAACACCAAAAACAAUAAUAUUAGAGAUCAUUAGCCGCCAGUUUAGGCGCCCACAUUUUCAAUUGAUUGCCCAGUGGAAAGGGUUGGAGUACCAUGCCAUCAACCUUAAUGGAUCAUAUGCCUCUCCUGCAGUUGUUAUUGAAAGGCUUGACAGAAUAAUGAAAAGCCUUGGAUGUUGAACUCUUUUACUAUUGUUGGAAAUUAUCCAUGGUCUCAUUGCUGGGAAGUGGAAAAGUGACAUGAAAUCCUUUCUGCUUGCAUUAUUAAUCUUCGGGAGUCUGCUCUGCUCGUUUUGGUUCCAUCAUUUUCUCUCCUCAGACUAAUUUUUCUCACAUGCUACUACUUUCUGUGCAACGUUUUCUUGGUGGAUGUCAGAUUCUACUUAACGUGAAUUUAAUGCCAUUCAUGGUUGGCAUAUCAAGAUAACGUGAUGCACAGCUCUGACAUUUAAUGAAGUAAACUUUCUUUAACCAUUCUGAAUCUGUCUGAAAGAGGAGGAUGCCUUUCUUUAGGUCCGGUAUGUUAUCCUCAGACUGAUCAGUGUCGUGCUUGUGUUGGGAAUUAUUUAUGGUAUAUAGGGAAGGAAAUGAUGGGUUGAUCCUGGAUUUUUUAUUGGGGUAACUGAUGAUUGCUUUGCUUGGGAUUUUCUCACUUGUACAAUAAAUACAUCACUGGUAGGUUCAAUUUUAAAUGGAAUAUACUUCUGGGAUUUUUUUUUUUUUUUUAAAAAAAAA
This 1351-nucleotide unclassified non-coding RNA is filed under the name Hevea brasiliensis (rubber tree). The record is from RNAcentral. Lineage: Eukaryota; Viridiplantae; Streptophyta; Magnoliopsida; Malpighiales; Euphorbiaceae.